GACGAACGCUGGCGGCGUGCCUAAUACAUGCAAGUAGAACGCUGAAGGAGGAGCUUGCUCUUCUGGAUGAGUUGCGAACGGGUGAGUAACGCGUAGGUAACCUGCCUGGUAGCGGGGGAUAACUAUUGGAAACGAUAGCUAAUACCGCAUAAGAGUAGAUGUUGCAUGACAUUUGCUUAAAAGGUGCAAUUGCAUCACUACCAGAUGGACCUGCGUUGUAUUAGCUAGUUGGUGGGGUAACGGCUCACCAAGGCGACGAUACAUAGCCGACCUGAGAGGGUGAUCGGCCACACUGGGACUGAGACACGGCCCAGACUCCUACGGGAGGCAGCAGUAGGGAAUCUUCGGCAAGGGACGGAAGUCUGACCGAGCAACGCCGCGUGAGUGAAGAAGGUUGUCGGAUCGUAAAGCUCUGUUGUAAGAGAAGAACGAGUGUGAGAGUGGAAAGUUCACACUGUGACGGUAUCUUACCAGAAAGGGACGGCUAACUACGUG
RNAcentral lists this ribosomal RNA (495 nucleotides) under uncultured bacterium. RNAcentral's name for it is "partial 16S ribosomal RNA". It matches the Rfam family "Bacterial small subunit ribosomal RNA", at positions 28 to 507 of the family's 1533-position model. The record is from RNAcentral.